UACAGAGGGGGCCAGCGUUAUUCGGAAUUAUUGGGCGUAAAGGGCGCGUAGGCGGCUUGGCAAGUGGAUGGUGAAAUCCCGUCGGCUUAACCGAGGAACUGCCGUCCAAACUGCUUCGCUUGAGACCGGGAGAGGUGAGUGGAAUUCCCAGUGUAGCGGUGAAAUGCGUAGAUAUUGGGAGGAACACCAGUGGCGAAGGCGGCUCACUGGACCGGUACUGACGCUGAUGCGCGAAAGCGUGGGGAGCAAACGGGG
Molecule: ribosomal RNA, 255 nt
Filed under: uncultured bacterium
Lineage: Bacteria
Description: partial 16S ribosomal RNA
Rfam family: Bacterial small subunit ribosomal RNA
Source: RNAcentral